CCUACGGGAGGCAGCAGUAAGGAAUAUUGGUCAAUGGACGCAAGUCUGAACCAGCCAUGCCGCGUGAAGGAUGAAUGCCCUCUGGGUUGUAAACUUCUUUUAUAGGGGACGAAAAAGGGUCUUUUAGAUCAACUGACGGUACCCUAGGAAUAAGCACCGGCUAACUCCGUGCCAGCAGCCGCGGUAAUACGGAGGGUGCAAGCGUUAUCCGGAUUUACUGGGUUUAAAGGGUGCGUAGGUGGGUUGGUAAGUCAGCGGUGAAAUCUUCGAGCUUAACUCGGAAACUGCCAUUGAUACUAUCAGCCUUGAAUAUCCUGGAGGUGAGCGGAAUAUGUCAUGUAGCGGUGAAAUGCUUAGAUAUGACAUAGAACACCAAUUGCGAAGGCAGCUCACUACGGGAUUAUUGACACUGAGGCACGAAAGCGUGGGGAUCAAACAGGAUUAGAUACCCUGGUAGUCCACGCCCUAAACGAUGGAUACUCGACAUUUGCGAUAUACAGUAAGUGUNUGAGAGAAGACAUUAAGUAAUACCACCGUACGGAAGGUAACGGUAAGUCGCGAAGAGUUAGUUAAACGUUAACGAAAGGAAAGUUAGACGGCGUUGAGACGUUGCCGACGGACGACGACGAGGGGAGGAGGAG
This 641-nucleotide ribosomal RNA is filed under the name uncultured bacterium. RNAcentral describes it as "bacterial SSU rRNA". The stretch from base 1 to 535 matches the Rfam family "Bacterial small subunit ribosomal RNA", at positions 338 to 873 of the family's 1533-position model. The record is from RNAcentral.